RNAcentral lists this ribosomal RNA (446 nucleotides) under uncultured bacterium. RNAcentral describes it as "partial 16S ribosomal RNA". It matches the Rfam family "Bacterial small subunit ribosomal RNA", at positions 338 to 795 of the family's 1533-position model. The record is from RNAcentral.
CCUACGGGAGGCAGCAGUAGGGAAUGUUCGGCAAUGGGGGGAACCCUGACCGAGCAACGCCGCGUGAACGAAGAAGGUAUUCGGAAUGUAAAGUUCUUGUAACAGGGAAGAAAGAGAAAGUGGACGGUACCUGAAGAAUAAGCUCCGGCUAACGACGUGCCAGCAGCCGCGGUAAUACGUAGGGAGCGAGCGUUAUCCGGAAUUAUUGGGCGGAAAGGGUGCGUAGAUGGCAGAGGAAGUCUUUUGUAAAAAUGCUGGGCUCAACCCAGUAGGGCAAAAGAUACUGCAAAGCUAGAGUAUGCCAGAGGCAAGUGGAACUACAUGUGUAGCGGUCAAAUGCGUACCUAUAUGUCAGCACCCCAGUGGCGAAGGCGGCUUGCUGGGUCGAUACUGACAUUGAGGCACGAAAGCGUGGGGAGCAAACAGGAUUAGAUACCCUUGUAGUC